Molecule: long non-coding RNA, 945 nt
Organism: Gigantopelta aegis
Lineage: Eukaryota; Metazoa; Mollusca; Gastropoda; Neomphalida; Peltospiridae
Exons: 4
Source: RefSeq, a predicted model, not a curated record
UUACUGUUGUGUUAUACAUAGCGUCGGUUUGUGCAGCGCGCUCAACUCAGGGCAAGGAACGCUUGUUGAACGGAACGUAACAAAGGCGUGUCAAGAUGGUGGCUAAGAAAGGAGCGAAAAAGGGGGCGGCAGGUGACUCGGGUGCUGCUACAGCAGCUAAGGCAAAGACAUCCAAAAAGGCAGCAAAAAAGGGGCCAAAGAAGGGUGGAGUUAAAAAGAGGACAACCAAGAAAGCAAAGAAGGGUGGAAAGAAGAAGUAAUUUAUUAUUGUUCCACGAGCAAUAUGGUGGGGACGUACAUUUCACGACAUGGUGUACAGAUUGCAGACAGCAGUGACGACUUCCCAACUCUGCCAAUAAUCUCCAUCAAGCAAACCUAGACAGAGACACAUAGAUCUAAGCAAUUGUUUCGAUUUGUGUUUUAAUUCAUAUUUAAAAUUUUAUACUCAUAAUUUUAUUGGUAUACAUUUCACACCCAUUUUUAAUUAGCAAUUUUAUUUUAAAUAUAUAUUUUUGUUUCCCUUCAUUAUUGUCUGUACCAGUAAAGAUAUUAGUUUUUAAAAUUUUUAGUGCUCAUGUUCCUUGGACUCGCAUGCAAUUCUGGUUAACCUUUUUAAAAACAUCUCAUCUUGUCACAGUAUUGGAGAUUUUUGUUUCCAUGGACACCAGGACAUUCGUGUCAUCACACGGGGCGAAUCCAAGCCAGGUUUUUGCCACCACAGGGUGUGAAACAGAAUGCACAGAUACAAAUUUUCUCUCUCUCUCUCUCUCUCCAACAGCGUCAUGGUGUGUUUGUGUGUGUUCACGUCUGGCAUGGCGCGCAGGUCACCAAGGUUUAAACCAUGUCAUGUGUUAGAAGUACGGAGACCCCAUAUUCACGUGCGUGUUCAUCCAGAUCAUGUUGUUAGUCUCACUUAUCAUUUGUAAAAUAAAACAUUUAACAUUU